CAGAGGUGGCAAGCGUUGUUCGGAAUUACUGGGCGUAAAGGGCGCGUAGGCGGUCCGAUAAGUCCCGUGUGAAAUCCCUCGGCUCAACUGAGGAAUGGCACGGGAAACUGACGGGCUUGAGUUCGGGAGAGGGAAGCGGAAUUCCGGGUGUAGCGGUGAAAUGCGUAGAUAUCCGGAGGAACACCGGUGGCGAAGGCGGCUUCCUGGACCGACACUGACGCUGAGGCGCGAAAGCUAGGGGAGCAAAACGGGAUUAGAUACCCCGGUAGUCCUAGCUGUAAACGAUGAGUGCUGGGUGUAGGGGGUAUCUACCCCCCCUGUGCUGAAGCUAACGCAUUAAGCACUCCGCCUGGGGAGUACGGUCGCAAGGCUG
RNAcentral lists this ribosomal RNA (373 nucleotides) under uncultured organism. RNAcentral's name for it is "bacterial SSU rRNA". It matches the Rfam family "Bacterial small subunit ribosomal RNA", at positions 526 to 896 of the family's 1533-position model. The record is from RNAcentral.